AGGACGAACGCUGGCGGCGUGCUUAACACAUGCAAGUCGAGCGAGGCCCUCUCUUCGGAGAGGUGCCCUAGCGGCGAACGGGUGAGUAACACGUGGGCAACCUGCCCCUAGCACUGGGAUAAGCCCGGGAAACCGGGUCUAAUACCGGAUAUGACCUUCAAGGGCAUCCUCGAAGGUGUAAAGGAUUCUGGCUAGGGAUGGGCCCGCGGCCUAUCAGCUUGUUGGUGGGGUAACGGCCCACCAAGGCAACGACGGGUA
RNAcentral lists this ribosomal RNA (258 nucleotides) under uncultured bacterium. RNAcentral describes it as "partial small subunit ribosomal RNA". It matches the Rfam family "Bacterial small subunit ribosomal RNA", at positions 26 to 285 of the family's 1533-position model. The record is from RNAcentral.